AUGGGGGCACAGCCUGAGCAGUUUGUGGAGAAGGGGACCAAGGCCUCUCAGCCUAUGCUGGGCUCCAGGCUCCAUCUUGAAGAUCUACGAGUGUUCUGGUGGAGAUGCUUCUGCAAAGCCCGGCCCCAUCCUGAAUCUGAGGACAUCAGACUUGUGCACAUGUGGACUGAUGCCAAUGGAACCAAUGGAAUGUCUCUGGGUACACAUUCACUGGGACUGAGGACUGAAUAACACUAGGAAAGGACCAUGCAAGAUAAAGAGGAGGAGCAUAACUUCUGAAGAAACUGUUUUGAUCUGCUUUGGGUUUUCCCAAUAUUGGCAAUUCUUUGUUUUGAAUACAUUUUUUCCCCUUUAAGAGAAGUAUACUCCAAGCCAGUCUUGUGCUACAGCUUCUUUACCUUUGUCUGCCUAACUCAGCUGGUAUUUAAUUGGUCAGCAAUAGGAGGGAAGUCUCCUUUGAGGUAAUGAAUAUUGACUGUUUAUGUUGAAAUGUCACUGUGAAAAGAAAGCCCAGCACCAAAGAGGCGGAACUCAGUGUGAGAGUUUCAGACACAAAGGAGACACCAGCAAAGCACAGGCAUUGAAAAGCAAAGCAGCUGAAAUUCAAAGAAAAGAUGAAACAGAAAUGGUCUACAUGUGUGGGAAUUUUAAGCUGUCAGUUGACAGGUGAAAAAGUCAUUAUUCCACCUGUUAGAACUAAGUGUAAUUGCUUGUUUUUCCUAAAAUAACACAGAGGCCGUGACUCAUAUAUAUAUAUAUUUUAAUUUAAAAUUCAUUUAAACGUAUUUGCAAAUACUUUACUUUUUAUUUCAAGGUAAGUGAAUUAAACUCAUUAGCCAAUUUCUGUACCUCAGAUAUGCAAGAAAGAAGGUUUUACAUCUUGUAUCAGGUAUUAGAUAAUCAAAUCUUGUAUUCAAUCUUUUCUUUCAUCAAGCGACUUGAAUAGCAACUUCAGAGUUCGACAUGCAAUUUUAUCAUCCAUUCUAUAGCACUCAUUGAUUUAGAAUGAAUAAAGGCUGUUCUCCAGAAAACA
This 1033-nucleotide long non-coding RNA is filed under the name Anser cygnoides (Swan goose). RNAcentral describes it as "lncRNA (ENSACDG00005012222.1)". Lineage: Eukaryota; Metazoa; Chordata; Aves; Anseriformes; Anatidae. The record is from RNAcentral.